UACGUAGGGGGCUAGCGUUGUCCGGAAUCAUUGGGCGUAAAGAGCGUGUAGGCGGCCAGAAAAGUCCGCUGUGAAAACUCGAGGCUCAACUUCGAGCUGUCGGUGGAAACUUUCUGGCUAGAGUCCGGAAGAGGAGAAUGGAAUUCCUGGUGUAGCGGUGAAAUGCGCAGAUAUCAGGAAGAACACCCGUGGCGAAGGCGGUUCUCUGGGACGGUACUGACGCUGAGACGCGAAAGCGUGGGGAGCGAACAGG
RNAcentral lists this ribosomal RNA (253 nucleotides) under uncultured bacterium. Its description in RNAcentral is "partial 16S ribosomal RNA". It matches the Rfam family "Bacterial small subunit ribosomal RNA", at positions 524 to 776 of the family's 1533-position model. The record is from RNAcentral.